GAUUACGCUUCCUGCAAUCUUCAUCACCGUCGUCGUGUCGACGACAAAACAACGAAAGAACACGCGUCAACCCACCAAAACCGAAAACAGCAACGCUAAGCAAUACCAAAACCGAAAUCAGGCAGCAAGCAACAGCAAUAAUAACUUGUAUUCGUUCAUCCAGUCAGUCAGUCAGUGGCAGCAUCCAAAACUUCCACAAUACACCGUCGUCAGCAGAAAAGGGGCCACCGAAUCGCAUCCAGAAUGUUAAUCAGACUUUCGUCAACGUCUUCGUCGGCGUCUUUGCAGCAAAAAUUGAGUCCGGUUUCAGUGGCAGCAGCUUUUCUCGGAAUCAACGAAAAUGCCCGGAGGAAGGUCAACAUGAGGAAGCGUUUUGACGUCGUCGUGGGAUGCCGGAAAGGGCGCGCCGGAAGUGAAACUUUGGCCCAGGGUUUUUCGUCCAGGUUGGAUGCUGACCAGCCGUAAGGUUUUCCUAGCCAGGUGCGUCUGAACUUGGUCCAGAGUUUGGCGGAAUCAAACGAAUUAAUCAUCCGGCGACUACUGGCACAGGCAGAGGGAGGCAAUUUAAUUUCCCGGGCUGUUUGUCGUGUGACAAAAAUCAACUGGACCCACCUUGGAAGGAAUCUUUUCCCCACUGAAUGAUUUAUCACUUUUUGUGGGGCUGAUGAGACAAACUUCCAACACCUGCUCGAGAGAAGGGAAAAGGUCGUAGAAAGUCGUAGGAUAGUAAAAAAAAUCUCAAAACGAAAGUCUUGCUGCACCGGGUUUCAUUUCUUGACUCAGCAAAAACUGAGAAAAGGGACCAUCGAACAAUCUCCGGAGACGAGAUCGUGAUUAAAUACAUGCGACAUAGCGGAACAACAACAGAAGGUAAACAGAAAUAGGCCGUCAUAAAAAUCUAAUCAACAAAGCUUCUCCCUAGAGGGUCGGCCCCAAGAAAACUGGUAGAAAGGAAGAAAGCCACGAAACAAAAUCAGGCCGACAGCGAAGACAACUGAACGACGACCCUAAAGAAACAAAUCAUACACUCACAGCAGCGAUUCGAGCAGGAAAGAAAAAGAAAGAAAAAACAUUGCUGGUCCGUUAGUUUUUUUUUUAUAUCUCUGGAGCCACCAGCAGAGUCAAGCACGUGUUCAAAUCUCGAAGCAAAAAUCUUGGUAGAAUAGCCAUCAUCAUUUGUGAAGACUGCAAGUUACCGCCAGUAAAUGAAGAAGCGCAAUCACGAAAGCACCAGGAUCGUAAAAAAAAGAGUGUCCAACGCAUCUCCAGGACACCAGUACCAGAAAGCAGGAGCAGAGCACAAAUUGCCACUCAUACUCGGAAGGGCUAACUCCAACCAGAAACAAUAAAACAACACAAACAACACCGACAGCCGAGAGUACACAUUUGCUAAAAAAAAAAAAGAAACUAAACCGUUACAGCAGAAGCAACACAAGAAGAGAAAAAAUCAGUAGACCCUCCCCCAAACCAAAGCAAAAUGAAUCUUAUGAACAUGGACUCGGAGAAUCGGGUAGUGCUGAACGUCGGGGGAAUUCGGCACGAAACCUACAAGGCGACGCUGAAGAAGAUUCCGGCCACCCGGCUGAGUCGGCUAACCGAAGCCCUCGGCAAUUACGAUCCGGUCCUGAACGAGUACUUCUUCGACCGGCACCCGGGGGUGUUUGCCCAGGUGCUCAACUACUAUCGGACGGGCAAGCUCCAUUACCCAACCGAUGUCUGUGGACCACUGUUCGAGGAGGAGCUCUCGUUUUGGGGCUUAGACUCCAACCAGGUAGAGCCGUGCUGCUGGAUGACGUACACCCAGCAUCGCAAUACGCAGGAAACGUUGGCUGUUUUAGAUAGGCUAGAUUUAGAUACGGAAAAACCUACCGACGAAGAGGUAGCGAAAAAGUUCGGUUUCGAAGACGCUUACAAUAAGGGCAAGGUGAGCUGGUGGCAGCACGUCAAGCCGCAGAUCUGGUCCCUGUUCGAUGAACCGUACAGCUCCAACGCCGCCAAGAUCAUUGGCAUCAUAUCAGUAUUCUUCAUCUGCGUGUCGAUCAUAUCAUUCUGCCUGAAGACCCAUCCGGACAUGCGGGUGCCCUACAUCCGGAACAUCACGGUCAAGACGGCGAGCCAGAACACUUCGUGGGUGCUGGACAAGACGCAAACGAAUGCCCACGUGGCGUUCUUCUACAUCGAGUGCGUCUGCAACGCGUGGUUCACGUUCGAGAUUUUGGUGCGCUUCAUUUCGUCCCCUAGCAAACUUAGGUUCAUCACUUCGUCUGUAAAUAUCAUCGACUACAUCGCCACGCUGAGUUUCUUCAUCGAUCUGAUACUGCAGCGAUUCGCGUCGCACCUGGAGAAUGCCGACAUCCUCGAGUUCUUCUCCAUCAUCCGUAUCAUGAGAUUGUUCAAGCUGACGCGCCAUUCGUCCGGUCUCAAGAUCCUGAUCCAGACCUUCCGGGCCUCGGCCAAGGAGCUGACGCUGCUGGUGUUCUUCCUCGUGUUAGGUAUCGUGAUAUUCGCCAGUCUCGUCUACUACGCCGAACGGAUACAGAUCAAUCCGCACAACGACUUCAACAGCAUCCCGCUGGGGCUUUGGUGGGCCCUGGUCACGAUGACCACUGUUGGCUACGGCGAUAUGACGCCAAAGACCUACAUCGGGAUGUUUGUGGGAGCGUUGUGUGCGUUGGCCGGUGUGUUGACGAUUGCCCUGCCGGUGCCUGUCAUUGUGAGCAACUUCACGAUGUACUACUCGCACACGCAGGCCCGUGCCAAGUUGCCGAAGCGGCGUCGUCGUGUCUGCCCGGUCGAACUUUCGAGGCCCCCUCGGUUGCCAGGCCAAGGCGGUCCGGGGCAGUGCGCCAACACCGGUUCCGGCAAGCUUCCUUCUUCCAACGCUCCGAGCACCGGAAGCAUGGACCAAACCAUCAGGCGCAUGAACGCCAACCGCAACAUCUCCAAAGAUGUCAUCCUGCCAAAGAUGGCAUGAUGGGACGACAACCUUUAGGUUAUUUCUUCGCGUGCAAAAAUCUAUGUACAAAGUUGGUUUCUGGAAUUCGUUGCUAUCGUCGAAUGCCGCCUGCAGAUCUUACCGUGCCGUUUCUUAUCAAUGAAAUGAAACCCAAACUUGAGCAGAUCUCGGGGUACCUGGAUUCAAAAUCCCAUCAUCUUCUCUCGAUGGAAAUCGAUCGCCCAUCCCUCCGGUUUUUCGUAAAAAUAAGCCGCUGAAAACAGAUGACGUUUCGAGCGAAACAAAAUCUUACAUGAAUUGCCAAUUUCGCGAAAGUGAUACUUCACCAGAUCCCAAGAAUGACGAACCGAAAAAAAGCAAAAAAAUCAAUGGAAGAUCUCGCGUUUUGCCGGCGUACCUUUAAGACCCCCCAGAAGCAAACCCAGAUGCCCAAGAUAAGCGAGAGAGAGAGAGAGAGGGCGAAUAAAAAACAACCCUCAAUCAUCAGGAAGGAUCUCCUCCAGUUCAAAUAAAAGGUACCGUAGGAUUUACCUAUCCAUUUUUUUUCUGUGAGCCCACCGAGUAAGAUAAAAAAGACGUUAUGCUGUCAGGCACGGCAAAAGGAAACCCGCCAGCCACAUCCGAAAUGGAACGCACCCUUCUCAGCUUCUCAGUCAGUUCUUCCUCCCUUGAGAUGAUCCAAAGGCUUCUUAGAAGUUGCCUACAUUCAGGCGAAGCUGCAGCAUCCGACCAAACCGAACACAAGCAAUAACAACAGAAGCAACAGCAGCAGCAACAACAACAAUAACAACCAGAAACCAAAGACCCCGUGGGCAACGUUUGAGAGGACCUGAUAACGGUGGCACCAGCCGGAACCCUGCUGGAGCUACCGGAGGAUGAGCUACCGUUGGAUCUGGAGAUCAUCAGCCCUGGUAUGAUGAUGGGUACCGUUGACAUAAACACCCUCAACAACAACAACAGCAAUAACGGUGGUCAUCCCCUGGUGGUUUCCGGCAACGGAAGUGCCCCGCUUCAGCAACUGCCAACUGUCAACGCUGCCAACGGAAUCAGCAUCCCGGAUGUGCCGAGUGCUGCCGGAAGUGGUGGAAGUGUGAGUGCAGCAGCAGGAGGAAGUGGAAUUGGAAGUGGAAGUGGACCAGUAGCAGUCGUCACACGAGGGUUGAGCCUGAGGAGAACUUCCCUCGGCAAGAGCAAAGAUCGGAAGCUCAAGAACAGCUAAUCGUUUGGAGGAUUCGAGAAGCGGAACAAGAAGAAACUACUCAAGGGGCCGAUUCCAGAAGACGUUUAUCUUUAAGAACUAGCUAAUAAGUGCAAAUCGACUAAUAGCAAAAACAAGAAGAUAUAAAACAGAAAAUAAAAACAAGAAUCUAAAUCCAAAUAAAAAAAUAAACCAACAUCAAACCAAAAAGAAAAAUUCACACACAGACACACUUUUGCCUUCGCUUUUCUUUCGAAUUGAUUGUUAGCUUUUUUGAGAUAUAAAAGAACCGCGACCAAAUAAAAAUAGAAAAUUGUGGGGACGUAAAUUGUAGUGUCUUGGUCGGAGGAAUAGACAAAACGAGAUCGAAAAUGUGAGAGAUAGAGAGAGAGAAAGUGAAAGUUAGUCGAAAUCGAAUCGAAACCAAAAGCAGAUAGAGGACGAGGAGCAGUUUGUUAUGAGAAAACUUUGUUUUAUAAAGUUGGUUGUCUUUUUGAUGCUGAGUGAGGCUGAUUGCGAUUGAUUUAUUUAUCGAUUCCCUAAAGUGAAUCCAUCAAAUCCGAUUAGCGAUCCUGUUGAAUGUUUUCAAUGUUGAUCAUUAAAUGCAAAAAAAAAAAAACAAGAAUAAACUUUUCCGUUCCGCUAGUGAUUGAGUUCAUGGUUUUUCCCCCAAAAAUAGAUUUAAAUCUAAGAGUUUUAUAUGAACGUACGAAAUCAUUCUCUAGAACCAUGAUCAACAAAACGCUUACUACCAAUUGAAAUGUGUACAGAUACAAAUCGAAAUCUAAACUAUAAAUAUAUAUACAAAUCCAAAAAAAACUAGUUCACAAAUGUACAUAUUCAAAAUAUGAUAUGGAACACUUAAUUGAUAAAACAAAAAAAAAACACAACAAAACAAUUGUAUAUUUUAACAAAUGAGGCAAAACAAAAAGUGAUAACAAGUUAUUUUAAUAUAAAACGUAGCUCUUAUACCGGUCGGUUCGAAAUGAAUCAAGCCCGAAAUUGGAUUGGUGUAAAAGUUCGAAAAUUCGUCUUUUUCCUAAUUGCGUUACCUUUCUUUGAUUUUCCAAAUAAUGUUGCUAGAAUGAACGCUAAAUUAAUAAUAAUAACAAAAACAAAGAAAAAUAUCUCAUAUGAUACAAAACCAAGAGAGCAGAACAAAUGGAAAAACCAAUCUUAAAACCAAAUACACAUUAUCAAAAAAUGAAAAGAAAAACUAUUUGAAGAUAAAAAAAAUAUAAAAGAAAUACAAAGAAGCCUGUGUAAAUAAAAAUGAUAUGGUUGCAAAAUUUCUCGUCA
RNA transcript from Uranotaenia lowii, 5453 nucleotides. It is a transcript of the gene named potassium voltage-gated channel protein Shaw-like, with no coding region annotated. The record is from RefSeq and is a predicted model, not a curated record. The transcript is spliced from 8 exons. Lineage: Eukaryota; Metazoa; Arthropoda; Insecta; Diptera; Culicidae.